GAAAUGCCUUGCAUUCGCCUCAAGUUUUAUAGACGACACAAAGGGAAGUGGUUGAAAAGGAUGCGGCGGCAUUGGAACACGAAAUCAAUCAUUAUAUUAGUAUGUGCUGUAUUUGCUCUAUGGAUCCUCUUUCGCGAAAAUAAAAUACUUCAAACAAACGAUCAAAAAAGAGAGAGCUUGCAUUCCAUGAAGCAAAGAAAAGAAUUUCCUAUUCCAAACCAAAAGCUUCAAAAAUAUCUUUUGCAUCCACAUGGAAAAAAUCAAAAUACAGAAAACGAAGACAAACGUUAUUCGCAGGUCAAGCAGUUUAAAGUCGCAUACGAAAUCCUUCAAAAGAAUGGAGGGUUUUUUCUUGAUAUUGGUGCACAUGAUGGCCAGUUAAUGUCCAAUACUCUUUGGUUGGAAAGACAACACGACUGGACUGGACUUUUGAUUGAAGCAAAUCCUGAAGUUUGCAAAAGUAACGAUAAAUUAAAACGAAAUGCAUGGCGUUUGUGUGCUUGUCUGUCCAAUACUCAAGACAGUGUUUCUUUUAUCAAAGGGGGUGGUGUAGGUGGUAUCGCUGACAAUAUUGAUGAACACCACAUGAAAAUAUUAGAUCAAACGAAAAAAAUCAACUUUCCAUGUUUUGCCUUGGAACAAAUUUUGAAGACAAUUGGCGUCAGUCAUAUUGACUUUUAUUCUCUAGAUGUUGAAGGGGCAGAAAUGGCAAUUUUGAAUUCGAUGAAAUCUGGUCUUAAAAAUGGAGUGUAUACAGUGGAUGUUUGGGCUAUUGAGUACAGAGUGUGGAAUGGUAAACAGAUUGUUGUUGAGAAAUCGAAAGAAAACUUGAAUGCAUUAAGAAAAUAUUUCAAUGAACUCGGUGGCUACUUCGAACACUCGCAGUUAUCUACCGAUAGUAAUAACAAAGACGGGUACGCUCUUGACGUUGUAUUUGUUCGUACAAGCUCGUGGUGUAGAACAAGAGAAAAUUUUCCAAAUGGAACCCAUUGUCCAAGAAAGGAUAAAGCAUCGCGCAUCAAGGAUUAUCUUCUUGCUCCUCACCCCUAUCAAGAAGUAAAAGACGCAGACAAACGAUAUUCCCAAGCCCAUCAGGAUCAAAUCGUAUACGACAUAGUUCAGAAAGAAAGCGGGUUCUUUGUGGAUAUAGGAGCUAAUGAUGGACAACUAUAUUCAAACUCACUAUGGCUAGAAAGGCAACACGGGUGGAAAGGACUUCUUAUAGAGGGUAACCCGGAUUUAUGUCGAAAGAUCGAUCAACUAAAACGGCAUGCAUGGAGACUCUGUGCAUGCCUUUCAAGUACUUUGAAAAAAGUAACUUUUAUAAAAGGGGGUGCACUGGGUGGUGUUGAGAGUCACAUUGAUAAACAUCAAUUGAAUAUGUUAGACAGAACCGACAAAGUCACUGUACCUUGUUUUACUUUGGAGGAGGCGCUAAAUGUGAUUAAAACAGAUCAUAUAGAUUUUUUCUCUCUAGAUGUUGAAGGAGCAGAGAUGGCCGUACUUGAGUCUCUAAGAGAUGGACUCAAAUCACACCGCUUUACGGUGGAUGUGUGGUCGAUUGAGUAUCGCGUGUGGGACGGUAAACAAGUUGUUUAUGAAAAAUCCUUGGAAAAUCUGAACUCUCUUAGGCGAUACUUUAAUGAAAUAGGAGGUUAUAGUGAACAUUCCCAACUUUCUAACGAUAAAAACAUCAAUGAUGGCUAUGCAUUAGAUGUGGUGUUUGUACGAAAUGAAAUGUAUUGUAAAAGGCAUGAUGAAUUACCAGACGGCACUGCAUGCACAUUCCUGUGACAAUGUAAGGGUUUAGAAAACGAGAAGAUGGCGGGCAGGGCUCAUGCAGACAUGCUACAAACCAUUCGCAACAAAAUGAAUGAACAGAAAAUGGACAUGGAGAAUACUAUGGCCAUGCAACAUGACAAUUUUAAAAGAGAAUUACAGGGAACGACUUCCUCCAUAUCGUCUGAAGUGAAGAAGUUAAAGUCAGAACAAGCGAUAGUCUGGAAACAUCCAGGUAACAAAGAUCACUUUGAACAUAACGAGAAGAUUAUUGCUUGAAUAACAAUAAAUAUGAUUAUUGCAAGGAACUUAUUCAUGAAUCAGUUGAACUUUGUAAUAAGCGUAACAAACUAAUCAAAAUGGCUGAUGCAUCACCUUGUAGGUGGAGUACAGUGAAAAAUUAUGUAACCAAUGCAUUGGCUGAUGAUGAUUUGGAUGACGAAAAACGAAUGUUUAAAGCGGAAAAUAAAGCCAUGAAAGAAAAGAAAGAAAAGAAGCAAAAAGAAAAACUGAAAUCUAAGAGUAGUUAUUCUAAUGUUAGGAUCAGUGCUCCUUAUUUUCCUUUUCCAGCUGGACAGCCUUUUCGUGGCCCAACGCACUUUGGUUUCCCCAUCAUGCCAGCUGCAUCCAGAUUUCCCAUUGGCUGUUUCCACUGCGGAAAACCCAAUCACCUAAGUAAAGAAUGCCCAGAGCUCAAGUCCGCUAAAUAGAGAGGCUAAACAGUCUAAAGAAUCAUCUUUGAUAAAGGUAAUUGAAAGAGAUUUGAUUUAGCUGCCUUCAAAGUUGCGUGAAAAAGUGUAUGCACUUCCUGGGAUUAUUCAAGCAUCACGAGCGGAUUCAACUAUACACAAAUAUUGUUAACAGUUUCCUGAGAUUUAAGAAGUGGACAAAAAACAAUGAAUCGAGGAAAGAGAAUUAUUUCCUUCAAAACCUUAACAUCUAUCUAUUUAUUUAGCAUGCUUGAUUCAACGGGCA
Molecule: RNA transcript, 2754 nt
Organism: Magallana angulata
Lineage: Eukaryota; Metazoa; Mollusca; Bivalvia; Ostreida; Ostreidae
Exons: 4
Source: RefSeq, a predicted model, not a curated record